GUAGGUGAACCUGCGGAAGGAUCAUUACAGAGUUCAUGCCCUCGCGGGUGGAUCUCCCACCCUUGAACAUUAUACCUUAGUUGCUUUGGUAGGUCGUGGAAACACUAUGGGCUCUAGCUCGUACGUGCCUACCGAAGGAAACAAACUCUGUUUUUAGUGAUGUCUGAGUACUAUAUAAUAGUUAAAACUUUCAACAACGGAUCUCUUGGUUCUG
RNAcentral lists this unclassified non-coding RNA (214 nucleotides) under rhizosphere metagenome. RNAcentral's name for it is "partial ribosomal RNA internal transcribed spacer region". The record is from RNAcentral.